AUGGAUAGUCAUGAAUAUAGUGAGCUGGAGAGGGCGUCAGGUGACAAAAGCAUGGGUCCAAUCGUCAUUCCUUACUCGGUUUUCAAGGCCAUCACAAACAAUUUCUCUGCUGAUCAACUAAUCGGCAGUGGUGGGUUUGGAGUGGUUUACAAGGGUACGCUUCGAAAUGGUAUGAUGGUUGCUGUGAAGAAACUUCGUAAUGAACAGUUGGAGGUUCUCUCACAAAAUUUCGACAGUGAGGCCGAUUGUCUCAAAAAGGUCAAGCACAAAAAUAUAGUACGGUUUCUAGGACACUGCUCUAACACGCAAAUGGUGCCGAUGCUAUAUGAAGGAAAAGAAGUCUUGGGAGUAGAACGAGAAAAGUUAUUAUGCUUUGAGUACCUAAGUAAAGGGACCCUCGACAAGUAUUUCAAAGAAUGCGAACCUGAGUGGUCUACGCGAUAUCAAAUAAUCAGGGGGAUAUGCGAGGGCCUGCACUAUCUUCACCGCCACCAGCAGCGCAUUAUUCAUAUGGACCUCAAACCUCAGAAUAUACUAUUGGACGAUUAUAUGGUACCUAAAAUAGCGGAUUUUGGUCUAUCCAAGCGGUUACCUGAAAGCCAAAGCCUGAUUAUUACCGAAAAACGAGCAGGAACACUGGGAUAUUUGGCACCGGAAUUCAUAAACAGAGGUGAAAUGACAUUGAAGACGGACAUAUAUAGUCUAGGGGUUAUAAUCAUAAAGAUUAUGAUGGGACUUAAACUUGACGAGCGCCCCAACCUUGACGAGGUGCUGGAAAGUUGGAAGAACACGUUUGGUACAUCACAGAGCCAUACACUAUUAGAACAAGUAAAAGUAUGUGCUGAGAUAUGGAUAGAUUGCACGGAUGAUAACCCACUGAAGCGACCUACAAUAGGGGAUAUUAUCUGUAGGCUUAAUGGAAUAGAUAUUUCAAACUCGUCUAGCACUUCAUCAACUCUGAUAAAUGGAGUAAAUAUUUACCCUCUCGAGCUCUGCUUUCCAUUCGAGGCAGGAAAACGUAUCGAAUGCCCACUGAGCAUAGCUAACAUGACAGAUCGUUAUGUGAACUAUUGGGUUGCACCCCAGUUCCCCAAUAUGUAUACUCCUUGUAAGCACGAACUCGUGAACGAAAUCCGUACUGGAACCAACAAUCUGGACCCAAUGUCAACUGGCUCUUUCAAUGUGACAAUGCUGGAGCAACAACAACCGCCAUCAGACGCGGGCAUGUUUAAGAUAGUAAUGAUCGCCAUGGGGAGCAGGAACGACCUUAAAAAGCUGAAGUCAUCCAUAGGCGAUGAGCCUAAAAUUGAUGGCGAAUUAUUGAAGCGAGUCAAAGAGGUAGGGGGCGAGGAGCAUACAGCAAUGUUGAGGGCCGUCAUCUGCCUACCAAGUGAGGAGGGAGUGGCCCCCAAGGUGAGUUCUGCAUAUCAAGUAAUCCCUCUGUCUCAAAAUAAAUGUCUCAACUAUAGCUUUAUGGACGAAUACGCGACAUGA
RNAcentral lists this ribosomal RNA (1494 nucleotides) under Triticum aestivum (bread wheat). RNAcentral describes it as "partial small subunit ribosomal RNA". The record is from RNAcentral. Lineage: Eukaryota; Viridiplantae; Streptophyta; Magnoliopsida; Poales; Poaceae.